GACGAACGCUGGCGGCGUGCUUAACACAUGCAAGUCGAGCGGAAAGGCCCUGCUUUUGUGGGGUGCUCGAGUGGCGAACGGGUGAGUAACACGUGAGUAACCUGCCCUUGACUUUGGGAUAACUUCAGGAAACUGGGGCUAAUACCGGAUAGGAGCUCCUGCUGCAUGGUGGGGGUUGGAAAGUUUCGGCGGUUGGGAUGGACUCGCGGCUUAUCAGCUUGUUGGUGGGGUAGUGGCUUACCAAGGCUUUGACGGGUAGCCGGCCUGAGAGGGUGACCGGCCACAUUGGGACUGAGAUACGGCCCAGACUCCUACGGGAGGCAGCAGUGGGGAAUAUUGCACAAUGGGCGGAAGCCUGAUGCAGCAACGCCGCGUGCGGGAUGACGGCCUUCGGGUUGUAAACCGCUUUCGCCUGUGACGAAGCGUGAGUGACGGUAAUGGGUAAAGAAGCACCGGCUAACUACGUG
Molecule: ribosomal RNA, 467 nt
Filed under: uncultured bacterium
Lineage: Bacteria
Description: partial 16S ribosomal RNA
Rfam family: Bacterial small subunit ribosomal RNA
Source: RNAcentral